RNAcentral lists this long non-coding RNA (300 nucleotides) under Elaeis guineensis (African oil palm). RNAcentral's name for it is "long non-coding RNA (EGUI_LNC067682)". The record is from RNAcentral. Lineage: Eukaryota; Viridiplantae; Streptophyta; Magnoliopsida; Arecales; Arecaceae.
AAAUUGCUAAUCGAUCCUCCUGUAACACUUGCACUGGGUUAAAUGUCAAUCGUAUUGAUCAUUUAACCCUAGAACGAUUCUUAACCAUUGAUCAACCAUUCGAUCGGAUCAUGAACUCUAAUGUGUGUGACCUCAUUGGUCCGAACCUAAGUCGGUAGCAUAGAAAUAAAUUUCUGUACCAAUCGAAGUGACCAUCUGCAAUAGUACCCGACGAUCGGAUAGGUCGAAUGUGUAGAACAACAUCCUUAGAACCCAUGCGGAUAUAGUUUUUAUAUAAUUCAUUCUCUUGACCAAAAUGAU